Molecule: microRNA precursor, 101 nt
Filed under: Ciona savignyi (Pacific transparent sea squirt)
Lineage: Eukaryota; Metazoa; Chordata; Ascidiacea; Phlebobranchia; Cionidae
Description: microRNA csa-mir-1473 precursor
Rfam family: mir-1473 microRNA precursor family (bases 24-97)
Source: miRBase by way of RNAcentral
CGAAACAUCAUUAAAUAACCUACGUGGGUCUGGCUCCCAAAUCUUCGAUCUUGUGAGAUAUAUUCUCAAGCUCGGUUUUAUGGGUGCCGCAUCCAACGACA